GGCGCUCGCUUUUGCGUCGCCCGCGGCAAUAUAUGGUAUGUAGGUACCACGACUGGGAUAUGGAGGAGCAUCCUCCGAUAUGUCUCCACAACCGCAGCAGCGUAAGGGAUAUCCUUUGGUGUGAAAAUUCACGGGAUGUCGUGGUAUCAACAUCGAAGCACAUGAACAUGGGGCUGUUCAACUCAGUAACCGAAGAAUUGAUCCGCUGGUUCUCGGAGGACGUCAAGUCCGGGAAGCCUCCAUUUUUCAGCGCCCUGUCCCUGUCUAUGAACCGAACGACAACGAGAUAAUCUCUGAGCUAUACAUCAGUGGACACUGGAGGGUAUAUCGGAAUGGGAGUGUGGGACUUAGAGACAGGCACGGGGAAACAUUCUAUAUGUUUAGAUGAUACCGAGGUCAGAAAUGCAACAACGAUGCAGUGAUAUCAACUGUCUGCUAAGGGUCAAUAAGCGGGAUCACUCAAUGAAAGUAGUCCUUGCAGUCUUUAAAAUCAUGAAUGUGAUGGAUAGCCUCAUGAAUGUGGGAUUCCUAGACUACCGGAACAUUCCAAAGGAACAGCCAUGGCCCAUUGGAUGGGCGUCGUCGGAGAAUACGGUUGCCGCCGAUCAUGAUCACCCCGAUGCGAUCCACCAUCAUAAAGGGCAACUCUUCGCCCAUACCAGAAAUAAUGGAUCCGUAUUCUCCAGUGGUGGUGGUGUCGAAGACUUGGUCCUCACGUCAAAGGUUCGGGCAAGUGAUUGUAAAGGUCCGAUAUGCGACAUGUCGAUCGGUGGAGAUCACCUUUUUUUCUUAUAUACUAAUCCGGAUGUAGUUAAGGUAUGGGAGUCUCCCGGUCCUCAGUUAGGCUUAGAUUGAACGAUUUCCUACUUAGCCGCCGGGGGCACUUCAACUUCUGGCCUUUUCUAGCCUAAAUCUUGAUAUAUAUAUUUAAUCAACCAAGCCUUCAAUUA
Punica granatum (pomegranate) is the source of this 950-nucleotide non-coding RNA. The record is from RefSeq and is a predicted model, not a curated record. Lineage: Eukaryota; Viridiplantae; Streptophyta; Magnoliopsida; Myrtales; Lythraceae.